Molecule: ribosomal RNA, 270 nt
Filed under: uncultured soil bacterium
Lineage: Bacteria
Description: partial 16S ribosomal RNA
Rfam family: Bacterial small subunit ribosomal RNA
Source: RNAcentral
AGAAUCAACGCUGGCGGCGUGCCUAACACAUGCAAGUCGAACGCGAAGACCCCGCAAGGGGUUGGUAGCGUGGCAAACGGGUGAGUAACGCGUGGGCGACCUACCUCAGAGUGGGGGAUAACCUUCCGAAAGGGAGGCUAAUACCGCAUGACAUCCCGUGUUUAGAUACACGGUGAUCAAAGCCGGGGAUCGCAAGACCUGGCGCUUGGAGAGGGGCCCGCGUCCGAUUAGCUAGUUGGUGGGUAACGCUCACCAAGGCUCCGAUCGGUA